GUGCUUGCUUUGGCAGCACAGAUACUAAAAUUGGAACUAUAAAGAGAACAUUAGCAUAACCCCUGUGCAAGAAUGAUAUGCAGAUCUGUGAAGUGUUCCAUAUUUUG
Small nuclear RNA from Trichosurus vulpecula (common brushtail), 107 nucleotides. NCBI's taxonomy places the organism in Eukaryota, Metazoa, Chordata, Mammalia, Diprotodontia, Phalangeridae. The record is from RefSeq and is a predicted model, not a curated record.